Molecule: small nuclear RNA, 125 nt
Organism: Arvicola amphibius (Eurasian water vole)
Lineage: Eukaryota; Metazoa; Chordata; Mammalia; Rodentia; Cricetidae
Source: RefSeq, a predicted model, not a curated record
GUGUCAUACGUGUGAGGGAGAGAAGUUCUGCCCUCCUGGUAAAGACAGAAGAAGCCCUUAGGUCUAAUAAUACAUGGACAGUUAUGGUAUUGCCAACUGCUUUGUGCAUCUAACCACUGUUGAAC